This 498-nucleotide ribosomal RNA is filed under the name Platycephalus sp. JJA-2009. Its description in RNAcentral is "partial 16S ribosomal RNA". It matches the Rfam family "Bacterial large subunit ribosomal RNA", at positions 1842 to 2538 of the family's 2925-position model. Lineage: Eukaryota; Metazoa; Chordata; Actinopteri; Perciformes; Platycephalidae. The record is from RNAcentral.
AAAAUAAGAGGUCCUNCCUGCCCUGUGANUAUAAGUUUAACGGCCGCGGUAUUUUANCCGUGUGAAGGUAGCGAAAUCACUUGUCCUUUAAAUGAAGASCAGUAUGAAUGGCAAGACGAGGGCUUAACUGUCUCSUYUUUCAAGUCAAUGAAAUUGAUCUSUCCGUGCAGAAGCGGGGAUDUGAACAUAAGACGAGAAGACCCUGUGGAGCUUUAGACAUAGGACAAGUCAUGUUAAGUACCCCUAGAUAAGCCGAACUAAGUGAAACCUUGCUCUGGUGUCUUUGGUUGGGGCGACCACGGGGAAGAAAGAAACCCCCACGUGGAGUGAGAACACUUAUUCUCACAACCAAGAGCUACGGCUCUAAGCAACAGAAUAUCUGACCUUAAGAUCCGGCUAUCUAUGCCGAUCAACGAACCUAGUUACCCCAGGGAUAACAGCGCAAUCCCCUUUUAGAGUCCAUAUCGACAAGGGGGUUUACGACCUCGAUGUUGGAUC